CUACGGGGUGCUGCAGUGGGGAAUAUUGCACAAUGGAGGAAACUCUGAUGCAGCAACGCCGCGUGGAGGAUGACACUUUUCGGAGCGUAAACUCCUUUUAUAUAGGAAGAAGAUGACGGUACUAUAUGAAUAAGCGCCGGCUAACUCCGUGCCAGCAGCCGCGGUAAUACGGAGGGCGCAAGCGUUACUCGGAAUCACUGGGCGUAAAGAGCGUGUAGGCGGAUUAAAAAGUCAGAAGUGAAAUCCUAUAGCUUAACUAUAGAACUGCUUCUGAAACUCUUAAUCUAGAAUAUGGGAGAGGUAGAUGGAAUUUCUGGUGUAGGGGUAAGAUCCAUAGAGAUCAGAAGGAAUACCGAUUGCGAAGGCGAUCUACUAGAACAUUAUUGACGCUGAGACGCGAAAGCGUGGGGAGCAAACAGGAUUAGAUACCCUAGUAGUC
RNAcentral lists this ribosomal RNA (439 nucleotides) under uncultured bacterium. RNAcentral describes it as "partial 16S ribosomal RNA". It matches the Rfam family "Bacterial small subunit ribosomal RNA", at positions 339 to 795 of the family's 1533-position model. The record is from RNAcentral.